CUGACCCACCUGUGGCAGGGCCUGUGUUCGGGCCUGCAGGGCUGUUCUGUAUCUGGGCUAAAUGUACUGAAGCAAACUGUAACUGCUGCUCAUAAAGCGUUUUAUAACACAGCCCGGCCGGUACCGGUUCCUCCUCAUCCCGCCAGAGGGACUCUGUGGACCAGAGACCAGCUGUCGGUGCUGCCAGCUGGUGCUCAGGUGUUCUCAGAACCGUCAGCCGGGCCCGGAGGUGCGCUUCGAGCCUGAAGUUUGGUUCCCCGCUGUGUUGUGGACUCACUACACCUCCACUUCUCCACCCUGAGGCUCGACAGCAGUAUACGGUGACGCCUUCCAGCAGGGAUUACCACACCGUGAGCUCUGGCCCUCCCACCGCGCGCAGUAAUGAAGGAGCGGCUGUGGAGACUGGAGGCGCAGGCGGCCGCUCGCUUUCCACCAGAGUUUUACACGGCAGACGACAAAUCUGGACGUGACUGUCUUACCAGAGAUUAAAACUGUCUGAGGCAGACACAGAGACACGGAGAGAGAGAGAGAGAGAGAGAUUGGGCCGAUCACGACGGUGGUGAUAAAAUCACGAUGAGAUCACAGUUGUUGGUCUGAAGUAAUCAGACAUGUUUUCCUCCAUGAAGAGGAGAAGAUCUGUAGCUGGAACUAUUUCCUCAGGCGCAGUGACUCACUGGAGACCAGCAGGGACUUCAGGAAGUUACUGCAGCAGAACUUCAGAGAGCAGGAAGUGUGUGCGUCAUGAAAUUCGCCCUGGUUAUCUGCUUUCACACGCUCUGGCCAGCCGCCUGCCCUCGAGCAGCACCGAGCCCCUGCUGUCGGAGGGCUGGACACACAACUCCAACACACACAACAUGCAGCGGACAUACAUGCAACAGACAGGAGUGUGUGUCUGUGUGGCUGUUAUCAAGCACGUCACACCAGCAGGUCAAUAUUUUCACACAAAGCACGUGUUUAAAUGAAAGCCGGAGGCGGAGACGAGUUCGGCUGAGACGGGCGCUCUUGUUAAGGAGAACUUCUCCUCGGGCCUUAGGUGAGGGUGAGAAUGUGUGAGGUCACACCAUGUGACCUUUAGCUGAAGCCGCUGGGCCGCCAUUGGUCCAGAGCCAACCCCCCCCAACAAACCCCCCCAACAACCCACCUCCCCCAAAGACUCGCAGCAGCAGCAGCAGCUCUGACCGCGGCUGCACUUAGUGCUCAGACGAGUUGUGUGUUUGUAGGUCGACUGUGAAUCUUCAGUGUGGCUUUUAUCUCGUAUUUAUUCUGGAGCACGUAUAGAAGCAGCAUCGCACCUUCUGCCAUGGAGGCUUUAAAUAUUUACCUCUCUGAGUUCAGAGAAAGGUGUGUGUGUGUGUGUGUGUGUGUGUUAGCAUUAUUACAUUAUAUAUUUUAUAUUUGCAUGUUUUCCUUGAGACGUAAAGGUGCAGCUUGUGGAGGAGGCCUGAAGUCGAUCUUCUGUGUUGUGAAGCUUCUCUGUUGUUUCCUGCUGUGAUUUGAAUUUGAGCCUGUUGCAUCACUGCCCUCUUUAAAAAUAAACUAUUGAUCAGGA
Molecule: long non-coding RNA, 1549 nt
Organism: Acanthopagrus latus (yellowfin seabream)
Lineage: Eukaryota; Metazoa; Chordata; Actinopteri; Spariformes; Sparidae
Exons: 6
Source: RefSeq, a predicted model, not a curated record